AGAGUUUGAUCAUGGCUCAGGACGAACGCUGACGGUGUGCUUUAGGCAUGCAAGUCGAACGAGAAAACCCUUCGGGGUGAGUAAAGUGGCGAACGGGUGAGUAACACGUGGGCAACCUGCCCCUCGCAGGGGGACAACCGGAGGAAACUCCGGCUAAUACCCCGUACGCUUGUUGGAUCGCAUGGUCCGGCAAGGAAAGGUAGCUUCGGCCAUCCGGCGAGGGAUGGGCCCGCGUUGCAUUAGCUAGUUGGUGGGGUAACGGCCUACCAAGGCGACGAUGCGUAGCUGGUCUGAGAGGAUGAUCAGCCACACUGGGACUGAGACACGGCCCAGACUCCUACGGGAGGCAGCAGCCAGGAAUCUUGGGCAAUGGGCGAAAGCCUGACCCAGCAACACCGUGUGGGCGACGAAGGCCUUAGGGUCGUAAAGCCCUGUUGAUAGGGACGAAGGGCGAAGGGUUAAUAGCCCCUAGCUUGACGGUACCUUUCGAGGAAGCCCCGGCUAACUACGUGCCAGCAGCCGCGGUAAUACGUAGGGGGCGAGCGUUGUCCGGAAUUAUUGGGCGUAAAGAGCGUGUAGGCGGUUCGGUAAGUCUGCUGUGAAAUCCUGGGGCUCAACCCUGGGCGUGCAGCGGAUACUGCCGGGCUAGAGGGUGGUAGAGGCGAGUGGAAUUCCGAGUGUAGCGGUGAAAUGCGCAGAUAUUCGGAGGAACACCAGUAGCGAAGGCGGCUCGCUGGGCCACACCUGACGCUGAGACGCGAAAGCGUGGGGAGCGAACAGGAUUAGAUACCCUAGUAGUCC
Molecule: ribosomal RNA, 801 nt
Filed under: uncultured bacterium
Lineage: Bacteria
Description: bacterial SSU rRNA
Rfam family: Bacterial small subunit ribosomal RNA
Source: RNAcentral